Ctenopharyngodon idella (grass carp) is the source of this 2750-nucleotide long non-coding RNA. RefSeq lists it as uncharacterized. NCBI's taxonomy places the organism in Eukaryota, Metazoa, Chordata, Actinopteri, Cypriniformes, Xenocyprididae. The transcript is spliced from 3 exons. The record is from RefSeq and is a predicted model, not a curated record.
UUCAUGCAGGUGCUGUCAGAGAGUGAGGGUAAAUUACCCCUCACUCACAUGACCUCAGUACCCCAUGCACUCAAUUAAAGACCUAAUGAGUCACCCAGCCAACCACGUUAGACAUGCAAUAAAUGAAUAAGGCCGCACUGGCACCAGUGAUGUCACCUGUAUUUGAAAAUAAAAGGAUAGGGCCACAAAACCGUCAGGGCUCUGGAGACCAAGUAUAAGUGAGCUGAACUUUAACCUGCAUGGAGUAGCAGGUCUGAAGUCGUAGACAGCCUGGGUUGUUGAAGGCUCUAUUGUGAUGUGUUAUGGGGGUUGGCACCUAUGCUCAUACAGUUGUUCUUGCUGUAUUCAGACUUUUAAAUGAUACUCAAGGGACCCACGCUGGACAGAUGAAAAGAAUUUACAAUGAUGUGUGAGCUGCGAUGAGAGGAACGAUCAGAAAAUAAAAUUUGUCAUGUCAAACAGCAAUGGAAGACCAAGACUUUUAUAGAUCUUAUGUUCCCGGAGCAAAAGUUAACCUCAGAUGGAGUGAGAGCGUAAAUUUGGCUCACAUGGAUUUAUGAAAGAGAAGAUUAUUACCUUUUCAAGUAAGAAAGAAGUUAUGCAGGUGUGAAAUGACAUGAGGGACGUCAGUUGCAUUUUGAAAUUCUCUGUGAGGAAGCAGAAGACAUGUAAAUAUUACAAAAUAAGCUGUUGGAUCUGCAUAUGCCGAGUGCUGUUGCUUAAGGCAGAGUACGGAGACCUCCCACCAGCUCAACCAGUGACAAAGCUGCAUGACAAUGGCAGGACUGAUCUGUCAUGGGCUGCCUUGUCAGGAGAGCUCACCUCCUGGGGCUCCAUCAGAAUAUAUGAUAGGGAGAGGCACAGGCCUGAGGUGGACACACCCUGACCGCAAACUGCAGACCAUUCCGCUCAACAAGGCCUGUGCUGUUCUUGCCUGUCAGCUGCAAUCUUAGGCAGCAUGCUAAGAAAGUAACAAUGUUCUGCCUUGAAAAUUCAUUUUAAAAUGGUAGGCGGUUGAAAUGUGUAUGUAAUUUUACUGGUCAAAGGCUAUUAUGUUCCUCUUGCGUGACCAGGAAAAAGCAUACAAACUGUCACCCGACUUUGCAAAUGCUGAGUAAACCAGAAGUAAUGAGGCCCGGGCCUACGCAAGUGUGCAGUAAAUCUACAUUCUAACUGACAACAUCCACUUUAGAGGGUGUUAAUGUUUCACACCUUGAGGCCAAGAGCCUGUAAUGAAACAGCUUCCUUUUGCAAACACUCACACCCAUCUCCCCUGGUGAGUGUUACUCAAGAUUUUUUUUUAAAGACCCUUGGCUUUCAUAUUUCCCAACAAGAUUGUGGUUCGUUGGUUGGUUGGUCCUUCAGUUUUGAUUUCUGGCCAUAUACAUGGUAAAAUCCUGAGACCCAAGUCGUGUUUUAAAUCUGCAAAUCAGUAGGCUUUUUUUUCCCUCUCAGUAAAUGUAUCCAAGAUGCAGUUAUCUAUGGCCGGUUUUAAACCUGGGCUGGUAAUGCCUGACUUUGGUUGAAAGUAAAUCAGAUUCUUAUUGGCCUCAAAGGACACUCAUAAAAAUCAGUAUCUAGCUUUGAAUUGCCCUUUAUGGUUAUGUAUGAAAUAAUUACAGUUGUUUUUUUUUAUUUGGACUCAUUUUUAUGUAUUUGUAUAUUUUGUAUAUUAUAUUUGCCAUAUCUUUAAUACUUUUAUUCAGCAAGGACAAAUUAAAAUAUUUUUUAAAAUGUUAUUCUGAAUUAAAGAAUCCUGGGGGAAAAUGUAUCACCAUUUCCACAAAAAAUUAAGCAGCACAACUGUUUUCAACAUUGAUAAUAAUAAGAAAUGUUUCUUGAGCACCAAAUCAGUUCAAAAUGAUUUCUAAGGAUCAUGUGACACUGACGACUGGAAUAAUGGAUGCUGAAAAUUCAGCUUUGCCAUCACAGAAAUAAAUUACAUCUAAAAUAUAUUAAAAUAGGAAACAGUCUUUUUUAUAAUAAUUAAAUUUCACUUUUUUUUUUUUUUUUUUUUUUUUUUUUUACUGUAUUUUUGAUCAAGUCAGUGAGCACAAUAGACUUAUUUCAAGGGAAAACUUUUAAAAAAUCUUACAGAUCCCAACAGUAUCGUUUAUCGAACAGUAUUUUAGGUUAAAAUAAUAAAACAUUGGCUUAUGAGAACAAAAGUAUAUUAUCUUUUUGCUGUUAGGUAUAGUGUUAUGUGUAUGGGAAUUGUAAAGAAUUUCUUGUUCCCUAACAAUUCAGAUACCCUAAUGGUACCAUUAAUGGUUCUUUUAGUAAUAAACAUUUGAACAAAGAAAAAUCUACUCCACUGAAAAAUUAUGAUUUCAAUUAUAAUUAAAACUGUUCUUGCAAAAGUGUGUUUCCGCAUACUUUUUCAAGGCUGCAUAAUGAAAUUCAGUAAUCGGCCUUAACUAUUUUAAAUAGCAAUAUGGUUACAGUUUUUUCCAUGAUUCACUUUUGACAUUCUACUAACUAUAAAGUAACUUUGCAACUACAUGUCAACUCUCAUUAGAGUAUUAGUAGACUGUAAUAGACUGUUAGUAGACUGAUAGGUUAGGGUUAGGUGUUAUGGUUUGAGUAAGUAGAAUGUAGUUGCAAAGUUACUUAUAUCUGAGUAUUUUAGUAUUUCAUUCGCAUCAACCAUUAAUGUAACCGAACGUCAUUUGCUUCAAGUAUUUUUAUAAUAGAUCAGCCCUAGUUGAGAAUAUAUAACAAUGGCUGAUUAUCCAGUAUUGUUCAAUGAA